This is a long non-coding RNA of Seriola dumerili (greater amberjack), 459 nucleotides long. RefSeq lists it as uncharacterized. Lineage: Eukaryota; Metazoa; Chordata; Actinopteri; Carangiformes; Carangidae. The transcript is spliced from 3 exons. The record is from RefSeq and is a predicted model, not a curated record.
AGUAGAGGUGAAGUACAGAGAGAGACACAGGUGAGGUGGUACAGAGAAGUAGAGGUGAAGUACAGGGAGAGACACAGGUGAGGUGUCAGAGUCCACUCAUAAAGUCAUAAAAAGCCAGUGUGAUAUCAUCAGGUGAGUCUCCAGGUGUGCAGCAGCAGGUCUCUCAGUGAUCUUGGCUGUUUGUCCUGAACCCGUCUCACCUGUCUCACCUGACCUGGCUGCUGCAGAGUGUGAGUGACUUUCCUGUUGACUCCCAGAGAGAACGUCGACCUCCAUACCUGCUCAGCAGGAACAACAUGGAGUCCAGAGAGGAAGAACAAGAGGACGACACUCUCAGGUCGUUUCUGGCAGCCAAAGACACUGAGAACAUCAACACCACCAGCAACAGUAUUACGACUAACGCUACUGAUACUACAGAUACCACAGAUACUACUGAUACUACAGAUACUACAGAUACUA